GAGUGCACACAGUUGCAGUGUUAUAGCUGAUGAGGCAACCACAAGGUGGAAUUAUUGCUAGGUGAAAACUUUUCCCAGUACCUCACUGUGGCGGCUUGCAAUAUAGCUGCCACCAGUAAUUUUUGAGGGCCUAUUUAAUUUUUAACUGG
RNAcentral lists this small nuclear RNA (149 nucleotides) under Struthio camelus australis. Its description in RNAcentral is "U4 spliceosomal RNA". The stretch from base 10 to 137 matches the Rfam family "U4 spliceosomal RNA". Rfam says of the family: U4 small nuclear RNA (U4 snRNA) is a component of the major U2-dependent spliceosome. The structure of U4 snRNA from yeast and human has been reported. Lineage: Eukaryota; Metazoa; Chordata; Aves; Struthioniformes; Struthionidae. The record is from Rfam by way of RNAcentral.